RNAcentral lists this ribosomal RNA (269 nucleotides) under uncultured soil bacterium. RNAcentral describes it as "partial 16S ribosomal RNA". It matches the Rfam family "Bacterial small subunit ribosomal RNA", at positions 26 to 282 of the family's 1533-position model. The record is from RNAcentral.
AGAAUCAACGCUGGCGGCGUGCCUAACACAUGCAAGUCGAACGCGAAAGGGACUUCGGUCCUGAGUAGAGUGGCGAACGGGUGAGUAACGCGUGGGUGACCUACCCUCGAGUGGGGGAUAACGUUCCGAAAGGGUCGCUAAUACCGCAUGACAUUCCGGGUUUGAAGACCUGGAAAUCAAAGCCGGGGACCGCAAGGCCUGGCGCUAGAGGAGGGGCCCGCGUCUGAUUAGCUAGUUGGCGGGGUAACGGCCCACCAAGGCGACGAUCA